AGAGUUUGAUCCUGGCUCAGGAUGAACGCUAGCUACAGGCUUAACACAUGCAAGUCGAGGGGAAACGACAUCGAAAGCUUGCUUUUGAUGGGCGUCGACCGGCGCACGGGUGAGUAACGCGUAUCCAACCUGCCCAUCACUUGGGGAUAACCUUGCGAAAGUAAGACUAAUACCCAAUGAUAUCUCUAGAAGACAUCUGAAAGAGAUUAAAGAUUUAUCGGUGAUGGAUGGGGAUGCGUCUGAUUAGCUUGUUGGCGGGGUAACGGCCCACCAAGGCUACGAUCGAGUAGGGGUUCUGAGAGGAACGGUCCCCCANAUUGGAACUGAGACACGGUCCAAACGUCCUACGGGAGCA
This 355-nucleotide ribosomal RNA is filed under the name uncultured bacterium. Its description in RNAcentral is "bacterial SSU rRNA". It matches the Rfam family "Bacterial small subunit ribosomal RNA", at positions 8 to 350 of the family's 1533-position model. The record is from RNAcentral.